This 358-nucleotide unclassified non-coding RNA is filed under the name soil metagenome. RNAcentral's name for it is "partial contains 5.8S ribosomal RNA, internal transcribed spacer 2, and large subunit ribosomal RNA". The stretch from base 1 to 120 matches the Rfam family "5.8S ribosomal RNA", at positions 35 to 154 of the family's 154-position model. The record is from RNAcentral.
GAUGAAGAACGUAGCGAAAUGCGAUAAGUAAUGUGAAUUGCAGAAUUCAGUGAAUCAUCGAAUCUUUGAACGCACAUUGCGCCCGCUAGUAUUCUGGCGGGCAUGCCUGUUCGAGCGUCAUUACGCCCCUCAAGUCCCCUGUGGACUUGGUGUUGGGGAUCGGCGAGGCUGGUUUUCCAGCACAGCCGUCCCUUAAAUUAAUUGGCGGUCUCGCCGUGGCCCUCCUCUGCGCAGUAGUAAAACACUCGCAACAGGAGCCCGGCGCGGUCCACUGCCGUAAAACCCCCCAACUUUUUAUAGUUGACCUCGAAUCAGGUAGGACUACCCGCUGAACUUAAGCAUAUCAAUAAGCGGAGGA